CAAUGACAAACUUGACAAGUGGUGGCCCCCUGUUGGUGGAGUGGUGGUGGGGUCAGCCGCCCCACUAACAGGGAGCCGCCACUUGUCAAGUUUGUCAAACUU
This 102-nucleotide microRNA precursor is filed under the name Olea europaea subsp. europaea. The record is from RNAcentral. Lineage: Eukaryota; Viridiplantae; Streptophyta; Magnoliopsida; Lamiales; Oleaceae.